This 517-nucleotide ribosomal RNA is filed under the name Loxosceles sp. Fuerteventura-Lanzarote. RNAcentral's name for it is "partial 16S ribosomal RNA". It matches the Rfam family "Bacterial large subunit ribosomal RNA", at positions 1820 to 2706 of the family's 2925-position model. Lineage: Eukaryota; Metazoa; Arthropoda; Arachnida; Araneae; Sicariidae. The record is from RNAcentral.
UUUCUGCUAUAACAGAAAGCUAUUCCUGCCCUAUGAACAUAAAUAGCCGCAGUUCUCUGUGCUAAGGUAGCACAAUAACUUGCCUCUUAAUUUAAGGAUCGCAUGAAAGGACACAUGACUUUUUCCUUUUUUCAUAUACUUAAAAUAAACUUAACUAUUAAGUAAAAAGGCUUAUAUUUAAAAGAAGGACGACAAGACCCUAUAGAACUUUACUCUAGUUAGACUGGGGUGGUUUAAAACAAAAUCUUAUUUACAAUACCUUUAUAUUGACCUGAAACUUUCAAUAAAAAGAACAAGUUACCUUAGGGAUAACAGAGCAAUUUCUUUUUAGACAUCUUCCAAAAAGAAGCUUUCUACCUCGAUGUUGAAUUAAUAUUACUUCAUAAAUAAAUAUUAUUAAAGUGGGUCUGUUCGACCUUUAAAAUAUUACAUGAUUUGAGUUCAGACCGGUGUAAACCAGGUCAGAUUCUAUCCUCUCUACAUUCAUCACAGUACGAAAGGACCUGAUGAGAGAUAU